GAUGAACGCUGGCGGCGUGCCUAAUACAUGCAAGUCGAGCGAACAGACGAGGAGCUUGCUCCUCUGACGUUAGCGGCGGACGGGUGAGUAACACGUGGAUAACCUACCUAUAAGACUGGGAUAACUUCGGGGAACCGGAGCUAAUACCGGAUAAUAUAUUGAACCGCAUGGUUCAAUAGUGAAAGACGGUUUUGCUGUCACUUAUAGAUGGAUCCGCGCCGCAUUAGCUAGUUGGUAAGGUAACGGCUUACCAAGGCGACGAUGCGUAGCCGACCUGAGAGGGUGAUCGGCCACACUGGAACUGAGACACGGUCCAGACUCCUACGGGAGGCAGCAGUAGGGAAUCUUCCGCAGUGGGCGAAAGCCUGACGGAGCAACGCCGCGUGAGUGAUGAAGGUCUUCGGAUCGUAAAACUCUGUUAUUAGGGAAGAACAAAUGUGUAAGUAACUAUGCACGUCUUGACGGUACCGAAUCAGAAAGCCACGGCUAACUACGU
Molecule: ribosomal RNA, 496 nt
Filed under: uncultured bacterium
Lineage: Bacteria
Description: partial 16S ribosomal RNA
Rfam family: Bacterial small subunit ribosomal RNA
Source: RNAcentral